Molecule: non-coding RNA, 113 nt
Organism: Acanthosepion pharaonis
Lineage: Eukaryota; Metazoa; Mollusca; Cephalopoda; Sepiida; Sepiidae
Source: the annotation of a GenBank genome assembly
AACGGCCUUAUCGCGUCGAAACACCGAUUCCCGUACAAUCACCGAAGUUAAACAACUUCGAACCUGAUCAGUACCUAGAUGGGUGACUGCUUGGGUAUACCAGGCGCUGUAGG